CUUUCUUGGAGGAGGUCGAUCUGCUAAGCAGUUCGGUGGUCUCUGCAGGUGUCAUCUUGUGAUGCUUGGUUCCUGGUUCCAGUUCUGAUUCCGGUUUAGUGGAAGAUCACUGUUCUGGCGGUGAUCUUCAUUCAUUGCUGGUGGUUCCUACGCAGGAGGCCUCUUCGGUGGGGGAUCCUUGCCUCCGUGGAAGUUAAGAGGACUUCGUUGCAGGAUCCGUUCGCCAUUCCUGGUCUCUGUCUGGGAGCUGUUGGGAGCGUCUGGAGGUCGCUCCUUAGGAGGGGAGUUAUGUCACAUCCUGUUCCUAGCUGCGGAUCAUUCUGGCAAUGGCUUCUG
This is a non-coding RNA of Pelobates cultripes (western spadefoot toad), 336 nucleotides long. The record is from the annotation of a GenBank genome assembly. Lineage: Eukaryota; Metazoa; Chordata; Amphibia; Anura; Pelobatidae.